This 253-nucleotide ribosomal RNA is filed under the name uncultured bacterium. RNAcentral's name for it is "partial 16S ribosomal RNA". It matches the Rfam family "Bacterial small subunit ribosomal RNA", at positions 524 to 776 of the family's 1533-position model. The record is from RNAcentral.
GACGAACCGUGCGAACGUUGUUCGGAUUCACUGGGCUUAAAGGGCGCGUAGGCGGCUUGCCAAGUCAGGGGUGAAAUCUUUCGGCUCAACCGGAAAACAGCUUCUGAUACUGGCGGGCUUGAGGAGGGUAGGGGCAGAUGGAACUUCCGGUGGAGCGGUGAAAUGCGUAGAUAUCGGAAGGAACGCCGGUGGCGAAAGCGAUCUGCUGGACCCUUUCUGACGCUGAGGCGCGAAAGCCAGGGGAGCGAACGGG